AGGGGAGACAGAAGACAGCCUAUUACUAUCAUAUGACUAAGCUCACUUGUUGUCCGUGAGGACGCCUGUGUCUCCUGAGAGCUUCAUUAGCAAGCAGUAAAGGAAGGAAAAGCUAAAGCUUUCGUGUGUCUGUGUGUGUGUGUGUGUGUGUGUGUGUGUGUGUGUGUGUGUGUGCCAGAAGAUUGCCAUUUUGCCUACCUAGGCUGGCUGGCUGGCUGGCUAGUUAGCUCUGGGGAUUCCAGGUCUCCAUUCACCUAAUGCUGGGGUCAUAGGCACACAAGGACAUGCUCUACGGACACAUAAGGACAUGCUCUACAGGCACACAAAGACAUGCUCUACAAGCACACAAGGACAUGCUCUACAGACACACAAGGACACGCUCUACAGGCACACAAGGACAUUCUCUACAGACACACAAGGACAUUCUCUACAGACACACAAGGACAUGCUCUACAGGCACACAAGGACACGCUCUACAGGCACACAAGGACAUUCUCUACAGGCACACAAGGACACGCUCUACAGGCACACAAGGACAUUCUCUACAGACACACAAGGACAUGGUCUACAGGCACACAAGGACACGCUCUACAGACACACAAGGACAUGCUCUACAGGCACACAAGGACAUUCUCUACAGGCACACAAGGACAUGCUCUACAGGCACACAAGGACACGCUCUAUUUUGAAAUGGGUGAUGAGGAUUCAAAUUCAGGUGUCCAUGCUUUACCCACGGAGACAUCUCCUUAACCCAACCUAUUCCUUUAAAAUGUCAAAAUGUUUCCUCUCCCAGAAGGCAGAUUUCAAAAACAACUCUUCAAAGGCUGGAGGAAAUUUUGAUUUGUAAGACAUGAUACUUUGUUGAUUUUAUAAAAUGGUUCCUUUAUUGACCGUUGAGAAGAAUAUUACUCUUCGUGCCUAUGAGGAAAGGGGACCUAUUCUGCCAGGAACCUCUUUAAUCUUAUAAAUGCCUAUGUGAUUUAACAAUAUAGUCAGACUAUUUGUCGGUAAGAGAAAUUUUAUUAAUGAAUUAUACCACUGUGUACCAGUGCUUUUAAGCCCUAAUGAGUGCCUGACACGAAUGAAUAUCACAAACAUAAAAUAAAUAUUUGUCAAGUUAAUAAAUGAAAUAAUGUUCCGAAAACAUCAUCUAGACUCCCCCACCCCCCCAUCUGUCGAGGACUCUGCAAUUGGUUAUGCGGCCAGGCGCCACCUGCUCUCCCAGCAAGGCUCUUUUAAUAAAAAGGGCGAGCAUUGAUUUACAGCCCUUCGGAUCUGUUUGCUUCCAGGAUUGCUCAGUAUUACGGGUCUUCCUGAGUCAAGACGAUUCAGAAGCAAUGCUGAGGGCAGCAAACCUGUAUUUGUCAAAUGGCUGUGUGGCUGAGAAGUCCCCCCAAACCAAUCAACAUUCACAUAAUGAGCUUGGUUACCGAGUUUCGAGUUAUAAUGAAGAGCAGCCAGAGUCUGAAGCCCUAAAGCGUGUGCGUGUGUGUGUGUGUGUGUGUGUGUGUGUGUGUGUGUGUGUGUGUGUGUGUGUGGUUUCUGAAGCACACGAUAAGAAAGUACAGGCUUCAAAGAAGCUAAAUGGUUUAUGUUCUCUUCCUGCUCAUUAAGAAUUGCUCUCAUUUCUCCUAUAUGUCUCUCUUCCCCCUCCCCCUCUCUCUUUUUCUUCUUCUUCUUCAGAUCAUGAGGAUGCAAUUAAAAUCCCUGUGCCUGGUGGGUUCUGCCAGAGAGAUAAACAGUACCUGACCCCAUGUGAUUUGCCACAUGAAUAGAGAUCAGGAUUUCAUCUGAGAGCAACUCGAUUUUACAUGGUUGCUAAGGAGACUAUUGGCAUCUCUGUGUCCUGGGUGCCCUGUUGCCUGGAAAGAAUUACAGCGGCUUUGCCUGUUACUCUCCCAGAGAGAAAAACCUGAAAACUCAUUAGGGAAGCCAACGGUUUGAGAUUCCUCCACUGGUCUCUUUAUCGCUUCGAGCGCUGCUGGCCUUGGAGUGGAACUUGUGGGCAUAUUGACGUCCAAAUGGGUAUGCUCUCAAGAGUUUGUUAGAGAAAGGAAAAACAUAGGGACCAAGCUCUGAGGACCCAAUUCUCUGACCUGGAGUUUGGCACAGGCUUGUUGUGUGAUUCUGUUCUCUUUGUUUUGUUCAGAGAACUCUGCCUCCUGACAUCAGAAUGCAGACCAAGCUGCAGUCUUGUUUCUAACAGCGUCAUCAGUAAUGCCCCAGUGUCACAUUAAGGAAAAUAAAUUUAAAAGCACUUCUUCUUGGUAUCAUUAACCAAGGUAAUCCCAGAUUUGAAUUCCCUACUUCUGCCCCUCUGUGUCUUCCGGUACCCCUUUCUGUCUGUUGUAUGAGUCUAAAUCUGUGACUACUUGAAUGUGUCUUGUGAAUCUGUCCCUGUGUCUGUCUCUCUGUGUCCAUGUGUCUCUCUAACAAAAGGCUUUGCCCUCUCUUUCAUCGAACAGCACAGAAGUGUUACACCAGGAAGGAAUGAGAAACACUUUACAGGAAUCUUGAAUAGUUUUACAAGGGAUGAAGUCAUUGUCUCCAACUGACCUCAACUGACCCAGAAAACUAACAAUUUAAUGCUUUCAAGCAAUAUCUAUAGGUUGCAUUCAACAUUUAUAAAGAGUAUUCCUUUUUUCUUUCUUUCUUUCUUUGCAGUAGGGUUUCUCUGUAUGUCCCCGGCUAUCUUGGAACCUGCUCUGUAGACCAGGGCAGCUUUUAACUCAAAGAUCUGCCUGCUUUUGCCUCCUGUGUGCUGUGAUUAAAGGUGUGCGCCAUCAUUCCUUGCUAGAGAAUAUUCCUUUUUUAAGGUUGCUGCUGUCCUAUUUCCUGAUUUCAGCAAAUGAUUAUCAAAACAUACAAACAUUACUCAUAAGUCAGGAGCAUAGAAAAGUACAGGACUCGAAAAUACUGCUGUGCCUUGUAAGAGGCUCCCAGACCUUAGCACAGCUGAAGCCAUGAUGGAAGGGCCAUUCAGAACACAAAGUUCAGCAUGUAGACAGCAUGACCUUUCCAAGAGUGUUCUUUCCAAAACAAGAACAAAGCCUUAAUUCAUCAAAGGCCAUAGUUCCGGGACAGUCUCUAAAUGUACUAACCUUGCUUUCUGGCUUCUGUGGUCCCCCUUCUGGGUAACUGUUCUUGUUAACCGAAGUAUGUCAGACUAGGAUAUGGUCUUUGUGCUCGAAAGUUCACCAUGAGAAAGGCUUUAGGCUCCCCAACUAGGAUCCCUAACACAGUGUAGUCACUGGCUAGCUUAUAAGGACUUUCUAUUGGCUUACACCUAUGUGUGAUUCGUCUUUUGGGGUAGAUAUCCCUCAAUGUGCAUUAGUUUAGGUUAUAAAGUUGGUUACAUGGGGAAAUCAUGGGUUGUUAAUUGUUUUGAUAAAGGCAAGUUAAACCUAGUUAAAGAGCGCUAGGCUAGCAAUCUUAAGUGACCUUAAAGUAUUAUUAACUCUGGCUGUGAGGUUCAGCAAAAGUUCCAGUCUCUCUGAAUGCAAGAGACACUUUCAUAAUCAUGCAUCUCCAUAUCUAACAAGCUGGAUAGCCCUGGGCAAACAUGCUCUCUAAACCUUGGUUUUCUUAUGCUGGAAGCAGAAAGCAAGCCCUGCCAUGUGUGAAGAUUAAAGAGGCUAAUGGAAGCAGCUGUCGGGAGCAUCUUGACAAUUGCCAGGUGGGGCUCAGCAUUGUUUGCCGUAUGGCUACUCCAGGGGACAGAUGGUAAGGAAACUAGCAACCUGUACACUUGUUAAAGGGUCCCCGAGGAUCAGCCCUCAUUCCAGGAGACAGAGAAGGAAGGCGGACGAAUACGGGGAGAGAUGGAGCUGGGAGUGGAUACAAGAGUCUUCACCACUCCUGGUGAACUCUGAAGUCAGAAUGCCUCUUGAGUGAGACUUUUCUCUCUCUGACUGACUCUGAUGUCCAACUAACCCCAUCAUUCAUUUAUUGGGGUUCUAUACACUCCAGUAGAAUGUCUUUGGAGAUGAGACUUUGGGAAGUAGAUUUAGAUGCAGUCAUGAGGGUAAGGCCAUGAUGAGAUUCUUGUUCUUGCAAGGAGUGGAAGGAUCCUUGCUUUGGGUCUUUCUUUCCUAAGGUGACACACUGUGGAGGCAGCUAUCUGCAAGCGAGGAAGAGGACCACACUAAGAGUCUCACUGUGAGCUUCAGUGUGGCUCAGUGGUAAAGAGCACCACUGGCUACUCUUCCAGAGGACUUGGGUUUUGUUCUCGGCACCCACAUAGUGGCUUACAAACAUCUGAAGUUCCAGUUCCAGAGGAGUCAUCACCCUCUUCUGGCCUCUGUGGGCAUGGCACACACAUGAUGACAGACAUAUGAGAAACGGAAACACUCAUAUAUAGACAUCUCAUCUAAGAUACAACAACCCCUCAACAACAGGUGCACAUUCUUCUAGGAAGGGGAAUGAACUUUGUCUCAGAAAAGAAUGAUAAACUGAAGGUAAUCGGUGGGACACAUUACAUGUAGGGUAGACCAGCAACCUCCCUAGCCAAAACAAAACAAAACAAAACCCUCCAUCUUAUGCAACAUGCUCUCAUUGACUUCUUUCAUCAUUCUUCCCUCUUUGCACAAAACCACUGAAGUUUUCUCCUUCCCUCCCUCUCCCCAUCUCUCUCCCUUUCCAAGAGUGUACACACACUCAGUGUGUGUGUGUGUGUGCACAUGCAUGCGUGUGUGUACGUGUGCUUGCGCGUGCAUGUGUAUAUGCAUGCAUGCAUGUAUGCAUUGUGUGCACAUGUGUGCGUGUGCUUGCGUGUGCAUGUGUAUGUGCAUGUGUGCAUGUAUGCGUGUGUGUGUGUGCGUGUGUGUGUGUGUGUGUGUGUGUGUGUGUGUGUGUGUGUACAGAUGCAUAGGAAGCCAGAGGUUGAUGUUAGGAUGUCUUCCUCAAUAACUUCUCCAUCUUAGUUUUUGAGACAAAGACUCUUACUGAACCUUUUUGGUCUGAGCUGCUCAGCUAACAAGCUCCUGGGAUCCAGCUAUCUCUGUACUAGCCUGUGCCCCUCUGCCUGUUUCUGGGGUCAUAGAUCCAUGUCUCCAUGGCGGGCUUUAUGUGGUUGCUAGGAAUCUGAACUCAGGUCCUACUGAGCCAUCUCUCCAACCUCAAACAAUACUUCUUAACUCUCUUUUCACUUGCAAGACACACGGAACUGCAGUUCACAAGGAUUAGCCUUGGUGCCCUUUGGACCAGGGAGUUCCCAGGGAGGUGGUGAACGGUGAGGUAACGGGCUACUUACUCCUUCCUUAAGGGCAUCCCUUCCAAGGGAGAAGUGAUCUCUUUCAAGUCCUCCGAAGUCCUCACUGUUCCCCUUAAGUAGCAAAAUCAUGUUUAAGGAGAGGAGCACCAUGGUAAGGUGUGUGCAUUUUACAAACAUAUUGUACAGUUAAAGGGGAUUAGAUGGCCAAGGCUAGAAACAGGGAGACAAUCGAAGGAUUGCCAGUUAAACAUGGCAGACAUAUUUCAUAUUUACUUGCCCUUCUUCCAAAUCCCCACUGGGAGGAUUUCACAUACAGAGAACAUUAGAGGAAACAGCAUGGGCAGAAAGCGCCCAGUGCCAUUUUUAAAGCUGGCAAUAGAAGAGGGUCAGCUUGGCUGUGAGGUGGGGCGCAUGUGCAGAAUGCUCAGAGCUUUGGUGUCUGACUGAGUCUUGUCUAUGGGUCUGAGACCAGGCUAGGCAUUACAGUUUGAACACAAGAUUGUCCUCAACAGGCGUCUACGCUGAAGCUUUACUCCCCGAUUCUCGAAACGGCUGUGGGAGGUGGCGGAAGAGUCAGGGACAGAGAAGAAGAAGUAGGUCGCUGAUGUCAUGCCUUGGCAAUUGCAUCGGAAACUCCAGAGUCUGCUUCCAUUGCCUCUGGUUUCUUUCUGUGGUUGUCUUUCUUUUGGAACAUAAGCUCGCAGUAUUGCCUGGGGUAUUAUCUGAGUUUUCUCUUCGCCGUUUUGGGAUACCUGACAUAACCUGUUUAGAGGGCUUGUUUAUCUCGGUUCACAGUUUCCAAACUCUCGACCUCAGCAUCUCUGGCUUCACAGACUCUAGACCCAUGAUGGAGCCAUAUCCCAUGGCAGCAAAAGUUUCAGUGCAUUCAUUUCAGAAGCAUUCAUCACUUGGAGAUGUCUUCAACUGGAAGUAAUACAACAAGCAGAGGCUUCUUGUAUUGUAUUGUAUUCUUGUACUGUCUUGCUUUUGGUCGCAGUAGAACGUGAUUGCUGGCCUUGGUUCAGAUGUGCAUAAGACUGUUUUCCUUGUCUUUACUGUCCAUGCUGCACAUUAGUGCAGUGAUUCUCAACCUGUGGGUCUCGACCCCAUUGCAGGUCAAACAGCCCUUUCACAAGGGUUGCAUAUCAGGUAACAGUAGCAAAAAUAUAGUUAUGAAAUAACAAUGAAAUAAUGUUCUGGUUGGGGUUCAGCACAACACAAGGAACUAUAUUAAACAGUAGGAUGUAGAAAGGUUGAGAACCACUGCAUUAGUGACUUCUGUUUGUCUUUUUUUUUUUUUUUUUUUGGUUCUUUUUUUCGGAGCUGGGGACCGAACCCAGGGCCUUGUGCUUCCUAGGUAAGUGCUCUACCACUGAGCUAAAUCCCCAGCCCCGACUUCUGUUUGUCUUAUGGUCACAAGUGGGUCUCUGUGUCAUAUAUUAUAUCUGCAUUAGAAAUGUAAUAAUUAAAAUGGAAUGCCUGUGGCAGCCUUCCUUUUUGAGGCAGGGUCUCAUGUAUUCUAAGCAGCCAGCACGCCCUUCUGAUUCUCAUGUCUCUCUCUCCUUCCUGAGAACUGGGAUUUCAAGUGCAGUACAGUGUCCAGUUUAUGCUGGAGAUCAAACCCAUCCCUGAGCGCGCCAGGUGAGUGCUCUACCAACUGGGCUGCGUCCCAACGCGCACAGCUUACAUUCCUACUGGAGAAUUAAGGUGGGUCCGCCAGGCUUCUGUUUACAACUCAGGGAACAGGAGUAGUUACGUGAUCUCUUGUGACUGCGACAUCAGAGACAGUACCUGAGGCUGAGCACCUGACUAUUUGAAACAAUAACCAAUGCUCAGUGAACACAGAACAAGGGAGAAGUGGAUGUAUGGGUGUCUGACAGUGGUAGCCACAGUGACCCCCAGAAGGUAAGUGACUUGCUAGAAAGACAUUGCAGAAGAAGGCAGGUGCAGAGGGGAGCAGGCUGGGAUCUCUUGCAAUUGUGUGUGCGUUUUCAUGUUUGUGGAGUAUGUGAGUACAUGAGUUAACAUGUACGUGGAAGCCAGACAGCCUUAUUGCUGUCCAUUCUACCACUCUCAUUGAACCUGGAAUUUUCCAAGUAAGAUAUAGGCUGGAUGGUCAGUGAGCUUCAGGAUUUACCUGUCUUUGCCUUUAUAAGCACACAACACCUUUCCUAUUUUAGUUGUUGUUGUUCUGGGUUUUUUUUAGAUUUAUUUAUUUUAUUUAUAUGAGUAAAACGUUGCUGUCUUCAGACACACCAGAAGAGGGCAUCAGAUCCCAUUACAGAUGAUUGUGAGUCACCAUGUGGUUACUGAGAAUUGAACUCAGGACCUCUGGAAGAGCAGUCAAGCGCUCUUAACCACUGAGCCAUCUCUGGAGCUAGCCCACCACUACCUCUAUUUUUGUUUUUUAACAUGGACUCUGGAAACUAAAUUCUGGUCCUUAUUCUUUCAAAGUGCACAGUUUACCAACAGAGCCAGACCCACAGGUCUGCAAUUGAAGCAAAAACAAACAAACAAACAAACAAACAAACAAAACCAAAAAAUUCCUGACCUCAAACUCCCUAUGACUACACAGGUAACUGACUACCUGUCUCCUAAUGCACUCUGCCAGCCCAGUCUUGUCUCCUCACUCUCUUUAUGGAGGAGAAGCUCUUCAUCUGGGAUGGCAAACUUCACAAAAGACAGGAAUAAACGGGGUUGUAUAUGGAAUAGUGGUACCCCAGGUAGAUUGCUUGGUUCCCAGCAUGCUGGUAGUCAUAUACGCCAUCCAGAAGGAGACUAAAGGGUCUCUAUCUAGAGAAAGGGAAUAUCCAAGUGACUCCUGUUGGUCACUAUCAUUUUUAUGGUUAAGGUUAAUGGGGUGAAAUUACUCGGCCAAAGGCUUAAGUUUUGACCAAGCCAAGUCAGGGCCUGGUUUACAGUUAGCAAUUCCUCUAACACUUGGUAUGGUUACUCUUAACAUUUUGAAGUAUUCCUAUAGGUGUUUUUGUCUGUCUGUCAUUUGUUGUGACAGGAUCUUGCUAUAUAGCCCAAGAUAGCCUCAAAUUCCUGAUUUUUCUGUCCCAAGACUCUUGAACACUGGAAUUACAGAUAUGCCACCACUCCUAGCAUAUACUGACUGUCCUAGUGACUAAUAUAAUAUUGCUAAGUAUAGUUCCAGGCACUUAUUCACCACCUUGUUUUGUGAAGCACUUGCUUAAGUAUUUUGCCUUUUUGUUUGUUUGUUUGUUUGAGUGUCUUGUAUAGAGUUUCAGUGUUCUUGAUAUAUUCUAGAUACAAAUCCUCAUAAAAUUUGGAUCCUAAAAAUAUUGGGGCUGGGGAUUUAGCUCAGUGGUAGAGCGCUUACCUAGGAAGCGCAAGGCCCUGGGUUCGGUCCCCAGCUCCGAAAAAAAGAACCAAAAAAAAAAAAAAAUUAUUUCAUCUGCAGCUUCCUUAUCAUUUUCUUUCCAGUGUUGUUUGAGAACUAAAAGGCUUUGGCCCAGCGAGAUGGCAUUUGCUGCCACGCUUGAUGACUGAGUUGGAAUCCAGUAAGUUCCCAGGAGUCUCCCUCCUGCGAGACUCCGUUCCUGAACAUUGGUAUCUCCACACACAAACGGAGACAGGAGACAACAGACCAUUGCUUUCAACAUUCUGUAGACAGAGCUUCCAACCCGGAGAUCUUGCCCCAGCCCAAUUAUCAACAAUUUGGUGAUAAAAAAUCUGUUUCAGCAUCAUAAAGUCCUCAGAAUCAACCUCAUAUGCACACUUCCUCGGGAAGGUUUUGGGGAAUUUACUCCAAAAUUGGCUAGUAACAAACAGGUAAGUGGAAAACGGGAGAUUAGGGAUCAGGGGUUCCUCCCCCAACAAACCAAGGAAAGGACGGCCAAAAAUCAUAGCAUUGGCGGCUGAAGAGAAUGAGUUAUUUGGGGUCAGGGUUCUAAGCAGCUCGGGAGAAGGAGGAGCUUCAGCCCGACUUCUGCUCCUGUUUUAUGCAGACCCCACACCUGCUUCCCCAGCCUCUACCGAGCCCCAAUUUACCAGGUUCUCCCUCUCCAGUCUUUGCUGCGGGGGUCACAUUGCUCUGCCACAGCAGGGCCCAUUGAAGGCAAUGUGCUUCCCAUGUGGACACUCAAAUCUUAGAGAGAGAGAGAGAGAGAGAGAGAGAGAGAGAGAGAGAGAGAGAGAGAGAGAGAGGAGAGAGAGAGA
Non-coding RNA from Rattus norvegicus (Norway rat), 9397 nucleotides. The record is from RefSeq and is a predicted model, not a curated record. NCBI's taxonomy places the organism in Eukaryota, Metazoa, Chordata, Mammalia, Rodentia, Muridae.